UACAGAGGGUGCAAGCGUUAAUCGGAAUUACUGGGCGUAAAGCGCGCGUAGGCGGCUGAUUAAGUCGGGUGUGAAAGCCCCGGGCUCAACCUGGGAACUGCAUUCGAUACUGAUCGGCUAGAGUAUGAGAGAGGGAGGUAGAAUUCCACGUGUAGCGGUGAAAUGCGUAGAUAUGUGGAGGAAUACCGGUGGCGAAGGCGGCCUCCUGGUUCAAUACUGACGCUGAGGUGCGAAAGCGUGGGGAGCAAACAGG
This 253-nucleotide ribosomal RNA is filed under the name uncultured bacterium. Its description in RNAcentral is "partial 16S ribosomal RNA". It matches the Rfam family "Bacterial small subunit ribosomal RNA", at positions 524 to 776 of the family's 1533-position model. The record is from RNAcentral.